GACGAACGCUGGCGGCGUGCCUAAUACAUGCAAGUCGACCUUAGUGGCGAACGGGUGAGUAACACGUGGGUAACCUGCCCAUCAGAAGGGGAUAACACUUGGAAACAGGUGCUAAUACCGUAUACUGAUGGAUGGACCCGCGGUGCAUUAGCUAGUUGGUGAGGUAACGGCACACCUAGGCGACGAUCCGUAACUGGUCUGAGAGGAUGAUCAGUCACACUGGAACUGAGACACGGUCCAGCCUCCUACGGGAGGCAGCAGUAGGGAAUCUUCGGCAAUGGACGAAAGUCUGACCGAGCAACGCCGCGUGAGUGAAGAAGGUUUUCGGAUCGUAAAACUCUGUUGUUAGAGAAGCGGUAUCUAACCAGAAAGCCACGGCUAACUACGUGCCAGCAGCCGCGGUAUUC
RNAcentral lists this ribosomal RNA (407 nucleotides) under uncultured bacterium. RNAcentral describes it as "partial 16S ribosomal RNA". It matches the Rfam family "Bacterial small subunit ribosomal RNA", at positions 28 to 525 of the family's 1533-position model. The record is from RNAcentral.